Molecule: ribosomal RNA, 446 nt
Filed under: uncultured bacterium
Lineage: Bacteria
Description: bacterial SSU rRNA
Rfam family: Bacterial small subunit ribosomal RNA
Source: RNAcentral
UGGGAAUCUUGGACAAUGGGCGCAAGCCUGAUCCAGCCAUGCCGCGUGAGUGAAGAAGGCCUUCGGGUUGUAAAGCUCUUUUACCAGGGACGAUAAUGACGGUACCUGGAGAAUAAGCCCCGGCAAACUUCGUGCCAGCAGCCGCGGUAAUACGAAGGGGGCUAGCGUUGUUCGGAAUUACUGGGCGUAAAGCGCACGUAGGCGGAUUGUUAAGUCAGAGGUGAAAUCCCGGAGCUCAACUUCGGAACUGCCUUUGAUACUGGCAAUCUAGAGUCCGGAAGAGGUUAGUGGAAUUCCCAGUGUAGAGGUGAAAUUCGUAGAUAUUGGGAAGAACACCAGUGGCGAAGGCGGCUAACUGGUCCGGUACUGACGCUGAGGUGCGAAAGCGUGGGGAGCAAACAGGAUUAGAUACCCCGGUAGUCCCUGAGCGGGCUGGCAAGGCGCAU